GACGAACGCUGGCGGCGUGCUUAACACAUGCAAGUCGAACGGUAAGGCCCUUCGGGGUACACGAGUGGCGAACGGGUGAGUAACUCGUGGGUGAUCUGCCCUGCACUUCGGGAUAAGCCUGGGAAACUGGGUCUAAUACCGGAUAGGACCACUGCCUGCAUGGGUGGUGGUGGAAAGCUUUUGCGGUGUGGGAUGGGCCCGCGGCCUAUCAGCUUGUUGGUGGGGUGAUGGCCUACCAAGGCGACGACGGGUAGCCGGCCUGAGAGGGUGACCGGCCACACUGGGACUGAGAUACGGCCCAGACUCCUACGGGAGGCAGCAGUGGGGAAUAUUGCACAAUGGGCGCAAGCCUGAUGCAGCGACGCCGCGUGAGGGAUGACGGCCUUCGGGUUGUAAACCUAUUUCAGCACCGACGAAGCGCAAGUGACGGUAGGUGCAGAAGAAGGACCGGCCAACUACGUGCCAGCAGCCGCGGUAA
Molecule: ribosomal RNA, 478 nt
Filed under: uncultured bacterium
Lineage: Bacteria
Description: partial 16S ribosomal RNA
Rfam family: Bacterial small subunit ribosomal RNA
Source: RNAcentral